RNAcentral lists this ribosomal RNA (253 nucleotides) under uncultured bacterium. Its description in RNAcentral is "partial 16S ribosomal RNA". It matches the Rfam family "Bacterial small subunit ribosomal RNA", at positions 524 to 776 of the family's 1533-position model. The record is from RNAcentral.
UACGGGGGGGGCAAGCGUUGUUCGGAAUUACUGGGCGUAAAGGGCUCGUAGGCGGCCAACUAAGUCAGACGUGAAAUCCCUCGGCUUAACCGGGGAACUGCGUCUGAUACUGGAUGGCUUGAAUCCGGGAGAGGGAUGCGGAAUUCCAGGUGUAGCGGUGAAAUGCGUAGAUAUCAGGAGGAACACCAAUGGCGAAGGCAGCUCGCUGGGACGGUACUGACGCUGAGACGCGAAAGCGUGGGGAGCAAACAGG